UCCCCCUCUCCCAUACAUGCAAAACCAGGAUGCAGAGGAAUAAAAAAUCCAAUGCAUGGACUUGGUUAUCCUAAACAGCAUCUUUUGCCGCUACAAGACAAGUAAAUCCAAAUAUUUACGUCUAUAAAGUCUUUCUUUCCGACGUAAAUGUUGCAGAAACUUUUCGCAGGCCUGCUGACCCGACAUCAAACGUGCUGCUCACUUUGACUGAUUUCUUCCCUCCGGCUGAACAGACUGUGUUUUCCUCUAAUCUUGAGAAAACAUAUUGGUGUAAGCAGCCUGGUUCAGCACAAUGAUAAUCACUGGGAGGCCUAUCUUGAUUAAUAAAAGGCCUACACUGAGCCAAAGGAGCCAGCAGGAAGAAAGGACCUCCAUUAGCCUCCACUGAUGAUUGAUAUGACAGCAGGUCCAUUCAAACUGCAAAUUUUACACAUGAUUGGGGCUCUAUUGGAUGUAAUGAAAUGGCCUUCCUGAAUAUUGCACUUGAGCGACUGGGUGACCACCAGCACAAUAGCCGCUAUUAUAGUUUUAGGCCUGAACUCAUUUUUCAUUGUACCAGGUCCACCUUGUUAUUACCGCAGAACUCGGAGUGAACCCGCGGCUUUGGUUUCUCGUUGUUGCGGAUGUGGCCGUUCUCUCUGCCGGGAUCAAUUCACCGAGUGUUAAUUGACCACCGCAAUCACUCAGCAGAUUUAUGGGAAGUCUGAGGGGUCACAGGAGACAUCCAGGGGAGGGUGUUCAGGGAGAAAGACCGGCCUAAGAGCGCCGGUUAAGGAUAUCUGGGCUUUCUUAUCACUGAACAGAUUCGUUAACUCUGUCUUUGUAAAAUGAUCACUAAGAGAAGGUAGAGUAAUUAAAAAUAGAUGUUUGAAUGUAAGCUAUUUCCUGUCCGGAUAAGUCCAAAAACAAAAUGAGAACGCGACUCUCGGGGCAACACUCCAAAAACCCACCAACCAACUUAAAUUAUUUUCAUAAAAUAUCAGAAAAUAAAUCAUUUCACGAAAUAUCUUCUUUUGUGACAGGUACAAUGUCAUGUUUCAAAAGUGUCAGUUUUCCUGAAUUGGUUAUGAAAAGUUGUGUUUUGUGGAAUCAUAGAUUUUGUUAUAUAAAUGUCAUGUUCUGUGGGACGCCAUAUUUCACAAAACGUGUCCCAAAAAAAGGUUGAAUUUCCUCAGAUGUGUUCACAGAAAUUUGUGUUUCAUGAAAUGUUGUGGUUUGUUUAAUGUCGUGUUUUAAAAACUGUUUCAAGUUGUGCAAUGCUGGAUGUCUUAUUUUUGUGAAAUGUCAUUUUUCGUCAAAUGUCAUGUUUUCCUGAAAAUGUGUUGUGUUGAAGGACAUGUUGUGCGUUUAUGAAAUGUCAUGUUUUUGUUAGCUUCGGUAUGACGGCAGGUGCCACGCUUUGGGAAAUGUGUUUUUUGUGAAUGUUCUCUUGAUUGUUGUUUUCAGAAGUUUGUUUCUUUCAUUUUUUUAAUGUCAUUUUUUCAUAAUAUGUUUUUUUAAUUAUUAUUUUUUUUAUUGAAUACUGUGUUUUGUUUGCGUUAACUGAAAUGUUGUGACAUUUGUGGACCCUGUAUAACAUUGUAUUUUGACAAACAGCAUGCUCCAAGAUUGUUUCGUGAUGUUUUCUGAAAUAUCAGCUUUUUCCAAAGACCGUGUUUUGCUGAAAUUCUUGUUUUUUGUUUGUUUAUGUUUCCUUUUCAUUUUUUAAAUAAUUGUGACGUGUUUUAGAUCGAUAAUACUUUGCAGUGUUGUGUCUUGAAAUACGUUUUUCUACUGUGAAAUGUGAAGUUGUAUAAAAUGUCGUAGUGUCGGUGAAUUAAUGUCGAUUUUUGUGAUUUUAUACACUGAUGUAUUUUGACCUUUAAGGCCACUAUAGACUCUUACAUGUAGUUUGAUACUCGUUUAAUCUCACCUCUUAUCUUCAUUCACGGUCAUGACCCAGAUGUUGUCCCUUCUUGAGGGGUGGGCUGCUGAUGUGGAGGAGGCGUGGCCACUGGUGUCCAUCUGGCGUAGCAUAAUCAGCUUUAAACAACAGACCUACAGACAGCCAAAAGAUACAAAGCACAUGUGUAAAAACAAAGCUUUAUCUGCUAGCUACUGGAGCUAGCAUGUAGCUGUCUUUGUUUACAUUUGAGAUCUGAUGUGCAAACACUUGAACAUAACAGCGGAGGAGGAGGAUGUAAGAGUUCAGGUUUGGAUCAUUGUGUGGCUUCAGUGCAGUGUGUCAGUGUGUCAGAGUAUUAGUUUGAUUGUGGCCUUGCAUCUGGACACUCUUAAUACGGUUUAAUCCCUUUCUGUCAGCCAACCAGACUUGUCCUCGUGCCAACGCAGCAACCUACAGCGUGUCACUGAUCUUCACACCGAGACAGUCAGGGCUUGAGAAACGUCUUUAAUUAAACUGGAGCGUCUCAUUCAGGUAAGAGGGAGCUUCAUUCUCACAUUAAUGGUAUAUUCAGGGUUUAAUCCAGCCUUAUUAUUAUUGGAUAAUUGUAGAGCUGAAAAACAAUGCAGACGGUUUUGUGAAGGGUGUGUGGAAAGUGCACUUAGCCCUCUAAUAAGCUACAAACACGGGCGUUAUUAUGACUUUAAUGGAUCGUUUUUGUGGACAGGCUGGUUAGGAAAUUGCUCCUGUGGUUUUACAUGAAGCAGUUGAGAAUAAUUGCCUUUCCCAUGCCAAUAAUUUUGUUGUUAUGAUGUGAUAAGCUGUAUCAUUUCUUGUUGAUGAAACAAGUAGCUGUUUUUUUGGGUGCAACUUGCCCAGACCUGAUUAUUUACAAGGCCUGUGCGUCUGUGGAGGAGUCUGAACGCCACGCUCGCUCGUACAGAAAAGCAGCACUAAUGGGUUUGUGUUACAUUGCUAAAUCAAGUCGAGCUGUGAAGCAGCUCCCAGCGAACCUUUAUGAUCCAUUAACCACCAGGCAUUGGUUUUGCCGGAGCGCCUGUGCCAGCUGGCAGGAGCUGACAAGCCUGUAUCAUAAGCAGCGUCUGCCAGCGAUAGCUUGACUGAGGUUUAGAGAAUUCCCCUCCUUCUCUCAAGCUGAUUACACACACGUUGUUUUCUCAUUAGGCCAGGCUCCUCGCGGUCCUGUCUUGUGGAAACGCUUGAUGGGAUGAAGGUGCAGGCAGCGUGUACGACAUGUUAGACUUGAUGUCUGCAGACAGCUCGGGAAGAGAGACAAGUCUGUGGAGCGGUUUGAGUUUGGGUGGAGACAGCAGCAUUUACUGUAGAAGUGCAGACAAAUAUGUACGGACCCCACCCUAAGCUGGUGAUCAACUCUUCUGUCAUCAGUGUCUUUAUCGCGAAGACAGAGAUUGAUAUCCAAGGAUCAGAUUUCUUGGGAUUCCUCUGGCGAAAGAAAAUCCCAUUUUUCAAACAUUUGGAGACCUGAAAGCUUUCUGAAGCGCCGCCCGACUCUUUUAUUGUGUUAUUCAUGAAAACUGGCAGUCCUCUGCAAUAAAGACACACAAAUAAGCCCUCACUGUUCCAGCUCGCCUUUUCUCUCGGCGGCUGUCAGUGCAUGGCUUAUUUUCUGAAAAUGCAUAAUGAAAUUUUUAUGUCUCUUUUUUGCGACCAUGCAGUUACGAAGCUGUUAUUGUUAAAUAUUGCGACCAUAUUCGCCAAGCUCGUCUCCUGAGUGCACUUGUAUCUGAGCGCUUGGUGGAUGACUGAUGUUUCAUGGCUCAUGUUUUAUUAGGGAGCAAAGACGCAGAGAGAGACAGUUUCGAACAAAAGGGCGCUGCAAGAGAGGAAGAAGAAUUUACAGGCUUUUCUUCACGUCGUAAUUGAUAACCAUGUGGAUUCCAGGAAAUCCUGCUUCAUGUUAUCUUUUAUUCCCAAAUCCUUUUCCUUCCUCCAAAGUGAAUCUCAUCUACCUACACACCCACUCUCUCCGAGCUGUGCUAUUUUUUGUGUGUGCAGUCAGAUGGAUUCAGGGGAACUCCGAGCAGAUUUCUAUCAGAUUAAAAACACCAGCGAGCAGGAACAGUGGAGGAGAGGAGAAACCCUUAUCCGGGUCGCAGGUAGAUGAGAUAGGCAAAUCAGAGAGGUCCCCCUCCUCUAGAGAGAGGCACUUUCACUGAGUGAGCGAGAUAUGGGGAGCAGAGGAGGAGCAGAGGGUCACAGUGGGCAUGAGCAAUAAAGGGAAAGAGAGCGACAACAAUAGUUCAAAGCUUCUCCGUUUGCAUUUGAUCCAUUGUCCCUGCUGGUCUUUAGAGACCACCACCAACAAGGCAUCGUCUUACUCAGGCUGACAGGGUUUGUAUGGCUCAGAUGCCCUCAGAGAUUAGGUUCAGGUGGAGCUCAGGGUCAGAGGAGAGAGGGAGGAUCGUGAAUUCAUCAAAGAGGGACUCGAGUAACCCCGCUAUGAGACCUAACCCAGUUUGGAUCGAACAGUUUGGAUAUGGCGUUCACCUGAGAGCCUGGUUAUUCAGCAUAAAUACUUGAUAUUGAACUGUAGAAAUUUAGAGGUCUGUAAAAAAGACACUAACUGCUGUAUUACAUAUCAUCAUGGUGUUGCAGACGUGGGGUUUCCACUAUCUUUAUCUUUAUUUGAACAUGAUAAAAAUAAUGAUGAAGUAAAAUAAAAAACAAAAAACAAGGCUUUAUGAAAAGAAAAUAAUAAUAGUAAUAAUAAAAAAAUAAUAAUAAUAAAAUAAAAUGAGAGACAAACCUAACAGGCAAUAAUCGGCCAAUGUCAUGAUCAUGUUUAAAAAGGAGUAGGGUGAAGUCAAGUUUCGGGGGAAAGGUCACACCUCCACCUCACCUCUUCUGGAUUUCCCCUUAAAAAGUUCCCAAACCAAACUCAAUGAAGUUCAACUAAACUAAAUCAAAAGUUUAAUAUGUUGAUGGAUGUUAGAGACAGUACCAACAGAAGAACGUGUUCUAUAAUAAAAUGUGAAGAUGCUAACACUUAUAAAGAACAAAACUGAGAGGAGAAGCUGCAGGAAAUAUUCAGUAUUUUCCCUCCUGAUAGUCCAGCGUCAGGAUCACCUCACAUAUUGGUGUUUGUUUUAUUACAACAAUAACUUUAGAGAAAAAUGCUGCUACAGAAACUGGAGGAAAUCUUUCCUCCUCUCCUGCUGUCAUGGAUUAAAAGUAAGAACUUUCUUUUCUGACUUUUACAUGAGGAGAUUGAAAAACUGCUGGUUUUACUUUCACUUCAGUAAAAGUCAUAAAUGGAAGCGCACUUAUCCUGAAUAUCUCAGAGCUUUCUCCACUCCUUAAAUCAGGAUGCAAUGUUUGCACACAAAAAGGAGGCCCUACUGUGAGAGAGGAGGACUCUGCGGUGACUGAAAACUUGUCAAACUGAUAAAUUUUGAGUCUUAUCUGCGACGGCGGUUGUUAUUAUGUUCAUUGUUUUGACGGUUUAAAAAAAGCAGUGUGUAAUGAGGGAAGCCAGAUAAGCAAAUGGGUUCUUCUUUAUCUGUUCGGGAUUGUAAAUCCCUCCAAGAGGAUUAUCACAAUGGCCCAUUUUAUUUCCUCACCAGAUUUCCCUCCUGUGUAAUUACCACUCGCCUCUAUCUGUCUCUCCGUGGCAGAAUGGAUGGGUGGAAUAUCUUGAGAAAAAUGUAAAAGCCAAAGAGGGAAACAUCGCAGAGGCGCACCGCAGUGAAUGAGAAUUUGAAGGAUGCUAAUUAAACAAUGUCGUGAUUUAUAGCGGUAACAAAACAUUUACUGUUUCAAUCCCAAAGGCUUGGCUUCCUGGAAAAUGAAGCGCUCGGUCGCAGCUCUGUUGACGUCUUCGCCUCAGCCUCGAGUUAUUACAGGGUUUACAAAGUCAAGACCUCCAGCAUUAUCCAGAGUUUGUCAGGGAAACCACAGGUAUUUAUUUGAACAGAAGAUAAAUAGCUGCCUUUAGGUGUGCUUUUCCAUUUCUCUAUUAUUAGUCCUCCAAAACAAUUCCAGGUAAGAGCGAUCAGUCAGCGAGCGCGGAGUCAAACAGUUUAGAGAGAUUUCUUAUCUAACACAACUCUAAACUUGUUACUGAUGCUAACCUUUGUCUGGUGUCACAGAGACAGACUUCCUAGAAAGCCUCUUUGCACCAACAUGUGCAGGACUCGGCCUCGGAGUUCAUGAAUACACGAACGCACAGAGAUGUUAUCAGGCCUGCGGGAGGAUGUUUGGGGAGUGGGAGGGCUGCGGGGCUUCAGUGUGCUAAUGCAGCUAACAGCCAGGAAGGCAGAGUGUUGACUCUGCAGAUUUAAGCCUGCUACUGAUGGCUACGGGGGCUAAAUACUGACCCCAUGGACUAAUAAAGAAAAUCACCUCAGGCACGAGCCGCGGGGGUCAGAGGUAACGGCGCGGCUGGGAAAAACACAGGCCGUGGCUUUCGAUCACUACGCUGCCUAAUUGGACUGACAGUUGAAGACCGGUGGGGGUAACAGUGUUUAUUUACGUCUUUGUUACGCAGUGAGCAGGCACAAAGAUAUGUUGGCCCGGCCAGGGAUGACAUCGCUCCCGUAUGCUGUCUGGCUCCGGGAUCUUUGCGCGAGUACAAUAAGGACUUCCUGUCUGCCAUCAGAUUCCGCUGCAUUCCACCCAGACCGGGAUGAGCUAAGAGGGGCAGGGGGGGACAGGGGUUUUGUGAAAGAGUAUGAGUCCUAAUCAAACUGACAAUACUGACCUGUUCCCUUCUUCUGACCUCGCUCUGACCCCCAGUCUGCCCUGCGGUCAGACC
Non-coding RNA from Xyrichtys novacula (pearly razorfish), 6677 nucleotides. NCBI's taxonomy places the organism in Eukaryota, Metazoa, Chordata, Actinopteri, Labriformes, Labridae. The record is from the annotation of a GenBank genome assembly.